Molecule: non-coding RNA, 29 nt
Filed under: Homo sapiens (human)
Lineage: Eukaryota; Metazoa; Chordata; Mammalia; Primates; Hominidae
Source: RNAcentral
UCGAAGUGUGUAACCUUUGUGCUGGACGC